AUUGAUCGCUGGCGGCGUGCCUAACACAUGCAAGUCGAGCGGUAACAGGUGUAGCAAUACAUGCUGACGAGCGGCGAACGGGUGAGUAAUGCUUCGGAAUCUACCUUAUGGUGGGGAAUAACUAGCCGAAAGGUUAGCUAAUACCGCAUACGUCCUACGGGAGAAAGCAGGGGAUCGCAAGACCUUGCGCCAAAAGAUGAGCCGAAGUCGGAUUAGCUAGUUGGUAGGGUAACGGCCUACCAAGGCGACGAUCCGUAGCUGGUCUGAGAGGACGACCAGCCACACGGGGACGUAGACACGGCCCAGACUCCUACGGGAGGCAGCAGUGGGGAAUAUUGGACAAUGGGGGAAACCCUGAUCCAGCGACGCCGCGUGUGUGAAGAAGGCCUGCGGGUUGUAAAGCACUUUUAGUGGGGAUGAAAUGUGCAGGGUUAAUACCUCUGCAUUUUGACCUAACCCACAGAAAAAGCACCGGCUAACUCUGUGCCAGCCGCCGCGGUAA
RNAcentral lists this ribosomal RNA (502 nucleotides) under uncultured bacterium. Its description in RNAcentral is "partial 16S ribosomal RNA". It matches the Rfam family "Bacterial small subunit ribosomal RNA", at positions 30 to 523 of the family's 1533-position model. The record is from RNAcentral.